RNAcentral lists this long non-coding RNA (5966 nucleotides) under Equus caballus (horse). Its description in RNAcentral is "lncRNA (ENSECAG00000042414.2)". Lineage: Eukaryota; Metazoa; Chordata; Mammalia; Perissodactyla; Equidae. The record is from RNAcentral.
AGAAGAUUGAACUCUCAACCAUGACAAAUGCGAUGGGGAAAUCUGAGUUGAUGGACUGAAAAUCUUGAAUCUGAAUUCCUUUGAAUCUUCUGAGCCCACAGAAGUAGCCCACUCCUCCCUUUGAAGGAUUUGCACAGCCAGCAUCUCAGCCGGAAACGACUUUCCCUGGAGGGUUCCCAGCCUCCGAGAGCAGAUAUUCUCAAGGGAAGGAAGUUGAUUCAUGAGAUGACUCCUAGGGAGACUGCCAGAAGGAAAAUCUCUCAGGAAAAAAAAAAGAGAGAGAGACCAACAGAGAGAGAAAGAGAGAGAGUGAUCAAGGUGAUUCGUUAGAUUUAUUUGCUGUGGAUCAUUCGUUUGGUGCCAUUUCUGGGCAAUAUUUAGUCUAAGGAGAGGUAAAGUGAUAGUGAAGUGAGAAGUUUACAAAGCUUGUUAGCUGACUAUCCUGAAAGGGAGUUUGUCUUGAGAUGCUGCAGGGGAAGUAAGUUUGCCUUCAAUAAGCCCUGAGAGUUUGGGUUUAGGGCCUUCUAGGAUCCUCUUCUUGGCAAAAUUUCUAUAGCUGCAUAAUUUGAAGAGUUCUGUGCUGUCUCUUUUUGAAUUACCCAAUAGAUUCUUUAACAGCAUCACAAUUUACUCCUGAAUAGAUAAGAUAACCUCUCUUAUCCUGGCGUGAAUCACGAAAACUAAUAAAAUUUCAUCUGGUUGAGGGAAUCACGGAAUCAUAGACUUUCAGAGAUGGAAGAGUCCUAAAGGUCAUGUGGUCCUCAUCCUGCUCUGAACAUUAAGGGGAGUGAGGACUUUUACGCAUUUCUGAACCUGUGAGAUUUUUAUGACAACCCAGGAGAAUAGAUUUAGGAUGAAGGACAUGUUUACUAGCCAGGCGAUAAAUUGACUAAAUUAAAUAUGAAGAGCAUUAUAAUAAGUGAGCUACUGGCUGACUUUAGCAGCAGGUAGUUUAGAAAUGCCUGUCUUAGUUAUUGACUAGGCUUAUUGCCACCUUUCCUGCAACUGUUUUUCAAAUUUCAAGCAGAAGCAUUUACUAAGAGUGGAUCCAAGACCCUGUCUUUCCUUACAGGGCUGGCAUUUUUCAAAAUAUGUUGCAAUGUUAAAACUUUGAUUUGAGGUUUGAACACUGAGUGUCUUCCCACCUGUCCAGGCAUUGGGUGCGAAGGCUUUUCUAUGAGCUUCUGCCUCCUAUUAAACAGUAAUUUCUCUAACAAAAAAAAAUUUCUCUAAUUUAGAGCUUCAAAAAUCUCACUUUACAAUAAGCUGCUACUGGGCUCAGCUGAGGUCAAGGGUAAUGUGCAGAGGGUGUGCAUUCGUUCAAUCAGGAACUAUUGAAUAACUAUCAUGGGUCAGUCCCUGUAACACAGAUAUGAAUAACAAUGUUAUCAGUAGUAUAGAAAUAUGAACAAUGGUGUCACAGCAAGGAGGGCGACUAAGGCCACUUGUGGAGGAAGCAGAGCAAAACAAUUUUGAGCAGUCUUGCAGAAUAAAAGGCAGGUUUCCUGGUAGAGAAUUAGGGAAAGGUAUUCCAAGCAGAUUUUUCCUGUUAUCAUUAACAGCUGACAUUUAUCAAGUGCUUUCUAUGGUCCAUGUUAUGCAAGAGCUUUAUGUGGAUUUUUUUCAGUUCACCCUCACAACCUCAUGCGGUAGACACUAUUUUUACUCCAUUCUUUUAUAGAUUAUUAAACUGAAAAUUCAAGAGGGUAAGUCCUAUAUGUAAGUUCAUAUAGCAAGUGAGUAGCAGUAUGCACGGGAACUCUGGUCCUUUUGACCCUGAAUGAAAUAUCUCCCAAACAAUAACAAUCCCUUUUCUGAUUUGCUAUUUACUCAACAAUGCAAUGACCCUUCAAUUUUGUAAGUUUGUCAUUAGUGGGAUAAGGUUGUCUCAGAAUGUGAACCUCAGUAUUCCAGUUAUUGCAUGGGUAUUACAAAUUUAAAAUGUAUGCAUAUUUAUCUGGAUAAAUGGGGUUUCUCUUGUAAAAACCAAGCACCAGAGGCUGGGCUGGGAUUUAAGCUAGAUAAUGAGGCUUGGGGUAAAUCCUAACUGAAGACUUCUGUGGGAUUUCCAAGGCAGUCAUUAAGCACAUGCUCUGGAGCCAGGUUCUGAGUCAAAUCAAAACAAGAAUUGAAGAGAGAGCCAAUAUAGAAAGCUAAAAGGACUAAUAAUUUCAAGCAAAAAAUGUCAAAAGAGGUGUGAAUAGUUUUAUAAAGUAAGGCACAGAAGAACAUUCUGAACUUAGCAUGCCACUCAGUUUUGUAUCUCAUCCCUAUGGUCAAGGAAUCAUGUCACCUGUUAAUGGACACCGCCACCUCAACACUUUCCCAGAGGAAGAAAUAAAUGAAGAGUUGGCACAUUUCUGAAAGGCUGCUGCUCUUUAUUAAGCUUUUGAAUUUUUGUCUGUACAGUUGGGAAUAUUAUCAUUGGUCUAAUUGCUCAAUAUUUUGUCUUGUUUAGAUGGAAGUGCAUGUUGUAGAGGAUAAAGUCUGUCCUGCAUGCUGUGCAGUGUCCUGGUGAUACUGGCCCGGACUCACUGAUGCUGUCAUGUCCUCAUGGUCUCUAAGUGAUUUGGUAAUUCCUAGAAAGCCAUACAUAGGCAGUAGGCCGAAAACAAUUGUUUAUUUAAUGGUUUUCAUUUGUUCAUCCAGCAAAUAUUUCUGGAGUGUCUCCUAUGAAUCUGGCACAAUUUAAGAACAAGAGACACAAUGAUAAAUAGAAUAGACAGUGCCAAAUUCUACAUUGUAGAAUACAAGUACGAAAACAAGUGUUUGUAUUCUAAUGAGAGAGUCAAGCAAUAAGCUUAUAAACAACUACCAAAUAGCUUAAGCCUGUGAUGGUGCCCUAAAGAAAAAUAACAGGGUAAUGGUGUGAAGGGUGAUGGAGAAGAGGGGCUGGUGUUUGCUUCUUUAGAUAAUGUAGGCAGGGACAGCCUCUCUAGGAGAUGACACUUGGACUACUUCUUGAAGGAUGAGAGGGAGUCCACCAUGAAAAGGGGCAAGGAAAGAAAGUUUCUAGCAGAAUGACCCCCAAAAUCAAAGACUCUGGAGUGGUAGCAAGUUUAGAGGUCAAAGAACAAAGACUGAGGCUUGAUCAGGAAAUGCUAUAAAGACCAUGGAGCCCCUUAGGGAAUUUCAGCAUAUUAGAUAAAUGCUUAUCAAACUUUGAACUUCCAGAAGGCACUGAGACUUUGGAUCAGUAGCUUUCUAGGCAGCUAUAUUCUUUUGGAAGAUAAAGGUGAAGCAUUGACAGAUGGCUUCUGAGCUAAGUGCUGCCCUCCUACUUGAAUGUCAAAAUGCUCAUUCUUGUAUUUUCUGUUUGAUUUGCCCAGAAAAAGUAACGGUGGUUAAGAGACGGCAUCUGGAAUCAGAGAGUCUUGCUUUUAAUUCUAAUUUUCUACUGGGUAUUAGAUGCAUCAUCCUGGACAAUUUACUUAACUUAAACAAGUCUUCUUCCUCCACUUCUUCUUUUUCUUCCUAUUUAUUCCAGAUACCUCUGUGUGCUGUCUCACAGUCUCUUGGCCUCACUUCUGACUCCAACUAUGGCUACGGCAAACAGUUCUUGUGGCCUUUGACUCACUAGCAAUAUCUCACCUUAAGCACACACCAGCCAUUUUCAUUUGCUGUCCCAGUCCUUCUCUGACAGCGGAAUGGUAAGUUGCAGGAAGCAUGCUCUACACUCAUGUGGAGCCUGGGAGUGAAGGAAAAUUAAUACCCCCAGGGCAUCUCUCAACCGAUAAGUGAAGGAACCUGAGACUCUUAAACUGUUAGGUUUUCCUGAACACUCCAUGCUGGCAGAAGGAACUUCUCCUUUAUUAUGGAAGAGCAACUUCUCAAUGCCUAAACACCUUGAAAAGGCCUUACCUGAGGAAGACGCCUUGCAAGGUGUCGCUUUUUCUCCUCAAGAUCCACUACCACUCAACCCUUUUUGCCAAGACCAGUAACUUGGGUCUUGUCUCAGCACAGCCUGAACAAAGAUUCUGGAUUUACCAUCCUGGCAAACAGACCUGGAACCAGUUCUAAUCUGCUGCUGGAUUCCUUGAAGGUUGUACACAAUGAUGGUGCACAGUAAAUGAGGUGGAGAUGCCAGAACAACCUAGACAGAAAAUUGAAGAAGGAGCCAAAAAGCUGAGGAAGGAGAAAAUGUUAGAGUGGAUUUAUAUGAGACCAGAAAAUCCCACUGACUAUUCACUGGAAGGACCCAUAGAUAUUCCUUUACCAAGGCUGUAAUGAAGGUUCUACUGAAAAGUAGAUUUUAGAAGCUCAGUGAAGACUUUCACGUGUUGGUAUGAUAGUAAAAUGUGCUACCUUGAUACUGAGCUGCUUUGUAUUAGUGAGUUGUGAAAUGAUCCCAGAAUAGCAAAGGCCAAGUGGCAGCACUUAACUUUCAGAAACAAAGUAGAUAUGAUUAUCAUAAUGGGAAGGGCCAGGAUAGCAAUCGAGGCGCCUUUACUUGAAGGGUUCUAUGGUAAUGGCUCAUAGAUUAGAACGUUCCAGAGAACGAGAUAGAUGGACAGCCCACAAAAGUGUUCUUCAACUUGAAUUAAUGUAACCCCCUCCCUUGACAAAAAAAAAAAAUCAAGAGGUGGCUGCUGUUAGCCAAGACAAUGAAAAACUGUAGUCCUUCACCCAAAUUGGAGAUCUAAAUUUGUUCACAGACCCAGAGCUUAUUAGUCAAAGGGGGAGCUUGUUUCUCUUGAGGAAGGACCCUAUAAUGCUAUCAUAUGUGUAUACCAUAAAUAUUCUCCAAAAUUGACCUACCAGAGUAACUAUGCAAAAGGAAAAUGGAAUACCUAGCCCUUUCAAAGACAGUUGAAUACAGGGUCUGAGCUGACUCCGAUACAAAGGACCCAAAAUACUAUCCCAGAGCUUCAGAUGGAGGCUCAUGGAGACCAGGUGAUAAACAGAGUUCUGACCUAAGUCUUCCACAGAAGGUUCAUUGAAUCCACAGACUCAAUUUCCAAUUCUCAAGUGUAUAAUUGGGGUAGAUAUACUUAAGAGCUGCAGAACACUAAUUACUCACUGCCCUAUGGAGUGUGAGUCAAAACUCUAGGAAAUUCCUGAGGUUGCCUCCAUCCUCUUGCCAAGAAAGUUAAGCAUAAGUAGUACUGCAUUCUAGGAGGAAAUUUGGAGAUUAGCCCUAACACCAAAGAUUUAAAGGAUGCAGUGAUGGUGGUCCCUACAUAUGCUUAUUAAAUUCAACUGCACAGAUCCUGAAACAAUAAAGCCUAUGAGUGUGGUGGAAGACAGUGGACUCCUAUAAACUCCACCAAGUGUUAUGGUCAUCCCUAUUCAUCUGCUGCACUGGGUAUGAAAUCUUUAUGAAACAGAGCAACCCAGACUUUGGUACUGGAUAUGAGGCUACCGAUCUGGUCAAUGUGUUCUUCUCUAAUUCUAUCAGGAGAGAGGAUCAAAGGCAGCUUCCUCUUAUGUGGGGAGGACAACAUUACACAUACACUUUCUUUUCCCAGGGCUAUAUUAAGUAUCUUGCUCUCUGUCACAAUGUAGUCACCAGGAGCCUUGAUCAUAUUGACAUUCGUCGGGAAUCAUGCUAGUCCUUAAUAUUGAUAAUAUCAUGCAAAUAAGACCUGGUGAACAGGAAACACUGAAAAUGAAUGGCUACAUCAGGACAGCCCCAUUCAGACAUGAUACUAAAGGACAGUAUUGAGGAACUACAAAUGGAAAGCUGAAGAACACUAUGGCAUUUCUGGCAGUCAAGAUUUGGAAAGUUACACACUAAGAAGCUAUAAUAUGCUUAAGGAUAAUUUCCACCUAAUAAAGAGAACAGAAAUUUUGUUUAUGCAACCAAAUAGAGAGUUACUGUAUAGAGCAUAUAUUUUCUGAAUCAAACAGAACAGAGAAUGACGGCAUUGAGACAUGUAGAAAUACCCUUAUAAUGACAGAGCUGUCAUGUGGAAUCAUGUGUUAUUUCAUGUGUCCAUUCCAUCUGAAUGAGCAAUAAAACCAUC